Molecule: ribosomal RNA, 497 nt
Filed under: uncultured bacterium
Lineage: Bacteria
Description: partial 16S ribosomal RNA
Rfam family: Bacterial small subunit ribosomal RNA
Source: RNAcentral
GAUGAACGCUGGCGGCGUGCCUAAUACAUGCAAGUCGAGCGAACGGACGAGAAGCUUGCUUCUCUGAUGUUAUCGGCGGACGGGUGAGUAACACGUGGAUAACCUACCUAUAAGACUGGGAUAACUUCGGGAAACCGGAGCUAAUACCGGAUAAUAUUUUGAACCGCAUGGUUCAAAAGUGAAAGACGGUCUUGCUGUCACUUAUAGAUGGAUCCGCGCUGCAUUAGCUAGUUGGUAAGGUAACGGCUUACCAAGGCAACGAUGCAUAGCCGACCUGAGAGGGUGAUCGGCCAAACUGGAACUGAGACACGGUCCAGACUCCUACGGGAGGCAGCAGUAGGGAAUCUUCCGCAAUGGGCGAAAGCCUGACGGAGCAACGCCGCGUGAGUGAUGAAGGGCUUCGGAUCGUAAAACUCUGUUAUUAGGGAAGAACAUAUGUGUAAGUAACUGUGCACAUCUUGACGGUACCUAAUCAGAAAGCCACGGCUAACUACGUG